This 2932-nucleotide ribosomal RNA is filed under the name Escherichia coli. RNAcentral describes it as "23S ribosomal RNA". It matches the Rfam family "Bacterial large subunit ribosomal RNA". The record is from RNAcentral. Lineage: Bacteria; Pseudomonadati; Pseudomonadota; Gammaproteobacteria; Enterobacterales; Enterobacteriaceae.
GGGUUGUGAGGUUAAGCGACUAAGCGUACACGGUGGAUGCCCUGGCAGUCAGAGGCGAUGAAGGACGUGCUAAUCUGCGAUAAGCGUCGGUAAGGUGAUAUGAACCGUUAUAACCGGCGAUUUCCGAAUGGGGAAACCCAGUGUGAUUCGUCACACUAUCAUUAACUGAAUCCAUAGGUUAAUGAGGCGAACCGGGGGAACUGAAACAUCUAAGUACCCCGAGGAAAAGAAAUCAACCGAGAUUCCCCCAGUAGCGGCGAGCGAACGGGGAGCAGCCCAGAGCCUGAAUCAGUGUGUGUGUUAGUGGAAGCGUCUGGAAAGGCGCGCGAUACAGGGUGACAGCCCCGUACACAAAAAUGCACAUGCUGUGAGCUCGAUGAGUAGGGCGGGACACGUGGUAUCCUGUCUGAAUAUGGGGGGACCAUCCUCCAAGGCUAAAUACUCCUGACUGACCGAUAGUGAACCAGUACCGUGAGGGAAAGGCGAAAAGAACCCCGGCGAGGGGAGUGAAAAAGAACCUGAAACCGUGUACGUACAAGCAGUGGGAGCCUCUUUAUGGGGUGACUGCGUACCUUUUGUAUAAUGGGUCAGCGACUUAUAUUCUGUAGCAAGGUUAACCAAAUAGGGGAGCCGAAGGGAAACCGAGUCUUAACUGGGCGUUAAGUUGCAGGGUAUAGACCCGAAACCCGGUGAUCUAGCCAUGGGCAGGUUGAAGGUUGGGUAACACUAACUGGAGGACCGAACCGACUAAUGUUGAAAAAUUAGCGGAUGACUUGUGGCUGGGGGUGAAAGGCCAAUCAAACCGGGAGAUAGCUGGUUCUCCCCGAAAGCUAUUUAGGUAGCGCCUCGUGAAUUCAUCUCCGGGGGUAGAGCACUGUUUCGGCAAGGGGGUCAUCCCGACUUACCAACCCGAUGCAAACUGCGAAUACCGGAGAAUGUUAUCACGGGAGACACACGGCGGGUGCUAACGUCCGUCGUGAAGAGGGAAACAACCCAGACCGCCAGCUAAGGUCCCAAAGUCAUGGUUAAGUGGGAAACGAUGUGGGAAGGCCCAGACAGCCAGGAUGUUGGCUUAGAAGCAGCCAUCAUUUAAAGAAAGCGUAAUAGCUCACUGGUCGAGUCGGCCUGCGCGGAAGAUGUAACGGGGCUAAACCAUGCACCGAAGCUGCGGCAGCGACGCUUAUGCGUUGUUGGGUAGGGGAGCGUUCUGUAAGCCUGCGAAGGUGUACUGUGAGGUAUGCUGGAGGUAUCAGAAGUGCGAAUGCUGACAUAAGUAACGAUAAAGCGGGUGAAAAGCCCGCUCGCCGGAAGACCAAGGGUUCCUGUCCAACGUUAAUCGGGGCAGGGUGAGUCGACCCCUAAGGCGAGGCCGAAAGGCGUAGUCGAUGGGAAACAGGUUAAUAUUCCUGUACUUGGUGUUACUGCGAAGGGGGGACGGAGAAGGCUAUGUUGGCCGGGCGACGGUUGUCCCGGUUUAAGCGUGUAGGCUGGUUUUCCAGGCAAAUCCGGAAAAUCAAGGCUGAGGCGUGAUGACGAGGCACUACGGUGCUGAAGCAACAAAUGCCCUGCUUCCAGGAAAAGCCUCUAAGCAUCAGGUAACAUCAAAUCGUACCCCAAACCGACACAGGUGGUCAGGUAGAGAAUACCAAGGCGCUUGAGAGAACUCGGGUGAAGGAACUAGGCAAAAUGGUGCCGUAACUUCGGGAGAAGGCACGCUGAUAUGUAGGUGAAGCGACUUGCUCGUGGAGCUGAAAUCAGUCGAAGAUACCAGCUGGCUGCAACUGUUUAUUAAAAACACAGCACUGUGCAAACACGAAAGUGGACGUAUACGGUGUGACGCCUGCCCGGUGCCGGAAGGUUAAUUGAUGGGGUUAGCGGCAACGCGAAGCUCUUGAUCGAAGCCCCGGUAAACGGCGGCCGUAACUAUAACGGUCCUAAGGUAGCGAAAUUCCUUGUCGGGUAAGUUCCGACCUGCACGAAUGGCGUAAUGAUGGCCAGGCUGUCUCCACCCGAGACUCAGUGAAAUUGAACUCGCUGUGAAGAUGCAGUGUACCCGCGGCAAGACGGAAAGACCCCGUGAACCUUUACUAUAGCUUGACACUGAACAUUGAGCCUUGAUGUGUAGGAUAGGUGGGAGGCUUUGAAGUGUGGACGCCAGUCUGCAUGGAGCCGACCUUGAAAUACCACCCUUUAAUGUUUGAUGUUCUAACGUUGGCCCCUUAUCGGGGUUGCGGACAGUGUCUGGUGGGUAGUUUGACUGGGGCGGUCUCCUCCUAAAGAGUAACGGAGGAGCACGAAGGUUGGCUAAUCCUGGUCGGACAUCAGGAGGUUAGUGCAAUGGCAUAAGCCAGCUUGACUGCGAGCGUGACGGCGCGAGCAGGUGCGAAAGCAGGUCAUAGUGAUCCGGUGGUUCUGAAUGGAAGGGCCAUCGCUCAACGGAUAAAAGGUACUCCGGGGAUAACAGGCUGAUACCGCCCAAGAGUUCAUAUCGACGGCGGUGUUUGGCACCUCGAUGUCGGCUCAUCACAUCCUGGGGCUGAAGUAGGUCCCAAGGGUAUGGCUGUUCGCCAUUUAAAGUGGUACGCGAGCUGGGUUUAGAACGUCGUGAGACAGUUCGGUCCCUAUCUGCCGUGGGCGCUGGAGAACUGAGGGGGGCUGCUCCUAGUACGAGAGGACCGGAGUGGACGCAUCACUGGUGUUCGGGUUGUCAUGCCAAUGGCACUGCCCGGUAGCUAAAUGCGGAAGAGAUAAGUGCUGAAAGCAUCUAAGCACGAAACUUGCCCCGAGAUGAGUUCUCCCUGACCCUUUAAGGGUCCUGAAGGAACGUUGAAGACGACGACGUUGAUAGGCCGGGUGUGUAAGCGCAGCGAUGCGUUGAGCUAACCGGUACUAAUGAACCGUGAGGCUUAACCUUACAACGCCGAAGGUGUUU